This 253-nucleotide ribosomal RNA is filed under the name uncultured bacterium. Its description in RNAcentral is "partial 16S ribosomal RNA". It matches the Rfam family "Bacterial small subunit ribosomal RNA", at positions 524 to 776 of the family's 1533-position model. The record is from RNAcentral.
UACGUAGGGUGCAAGCGUUGUCCGGAAUUAUUGGGCGUAAAGAGCUCGUAGGCGGUUCGUCGCGUCGGCUGUGAAAUCCCGAGGCUCAACCUCGGGUCUGCAGUCGAUACGGGCGGACUGGAGUUCGGCAGGGGAGACUGGAAUUCCUGGUGUAGCGGUGAAAUGCGCAGAUAUCAGGAGGAACACCAAUGGCGAAGGCAGCUCGCUGGGACGGUACUGACGCUGAGGCGCGAAAGCGUGGGUAGCAAACAGG